This 2423-nucleotide long non-coding RNA is filed under the name Sus scrofa (pig). RNAcentral's name for it is "lncRNA (ENSSSCG00030034246.1)". Lineage: Eukaryota; Metazoa; Chordata; Mammalia; Artiodactyla; Suidae. The record is from RNAcentral.
GCAGAGACAUUUAUACAAGGAUGUUUCCUGCAGCACUGUUUAGAAUGUUGAAUAUUUGGAAUUAAUCCAGAUGUCCUCUAUUAGGGAGUUGGUUAUACAAAUAUGGAAGGCUAUGCAGCUCUUAAAAAGCAUAAAAUAGGUCUCUGUAUAUUGACAUGGAAAUAUGUUCAUUGAUAUGCAUUUUUUAUACAAAGGUAGACUAGAUUAAAAUAAGCCCUCAUGUAUCCAUUACCCAGCUUCAAUAGUUAUUAUGUCGGGGUUCCCGUCAUGGCGUAGUGGUUAACGAAUCCGACUAAGAACCAUGAGGUUGCGGGUUCGAUCCCUGGCCUUGCUCAGUGGGUUAAGGAUCUGGCGUUACCGUGAACUGUGGUGUAGGUUGCAGACGCGGCUCAGGUCCCGCGUUGCUGUGACUAUGGUGUAGGCUGGUGGCUGCAGCUCGGAUUCAACCCCUAGCCUUGGAACCUCCAUAUGCCAUGGAAGCAGCCCAAGGAAUGGCAAAAAAGACCAAAAAAAUAAUUAUUAUGUCAUAGGCAAAUCAUAUUUCAUUUGAACCUCCACCUGUUUAUUGGUUGUAUCAUUCUGAAGCAAAUUCCAGACAUUAUUUCAUCUGUAAAAUAUUUCAAUACAUGUCUCUGAAAGAACACAGCUCUAUAAAAAAAUAAACAUGAUCAUCACACUUUUAAAAAUAGUAAUAAAUUAUUUAAGAUCCUCAAAUAUCUAGCCAGUACUCACAUUUCUAAUUGUAUCAUACAUUUUAUUUUUAAUUGUUUGAAUCAAAAUAUAAAUAAGGUCCACAUACUGAGAUUGAAAUAAUUUUUAAUAGUUUUAUCAGUAUGUAAUCACAUACCACAUAAGUCAUCCGUUAAAGAGUGCAAUUUGGUACAUUUUAGUACAUGUGCAAAGUUGCACAUUCUUUACCACAACCAAUUUUAGAGUAUUUUCACCCCCUUAAAAGUAACCUCUGCCCCCACAGCUCCCCCAUCCCCCAGCAUCUACUUUCUGACUCUAUGGAUUUGCCUGUUCUGGACAUUUCACAUAAAUAGAAUCAUACAGUAUGUGGGCCCUUGUGACACUUAUUUCACUGAGCAUUUUUUCAAGGUUUACCUAUGUCGUAGCAUGUACAAAUACUUCAUUCAUUUUUAUUGCUGAAUAGUAUUCCUCCACAUGGAUAUACCACAUUGUGUAUACUCAUUCAUUCAUUGAUAAACAUUUAGGUGAUUUCCAUUUUUUUACUAUUAUGGAUAAUGCUGCUAUGAAUAUUUUAUACAAGUUUUUGGUAUGGAUUCUUAAAUAUCUUUUGAUUUAUAAGUUUCCUCUCUGUGUUGAUUUGUGUGUAUGUGUGAGCGUCCUCACUUGCAGUUUAUUUGUUUUUUGUUUGUUUGUUUGUUUUUGUCUUUUUUUUUUUUUUUCCUGCCUUUUCUAGGGCUGCUCCCACGGCAUAUGGAGGUUCCCAGGCUACGGGUUGAAUCGGAGCUGUAGCCGCCGGCCUACACCAGAGCCACAGCAACUCGGGAUCCGAGCCACGUCUGCAGUCUACACCACAGCUCACGGCAACGCCAGAUCGUUAACCCACUGAGCAAGGGCAGGGACCGAACCCGCACCCUCAUGGUUCCUAGUUGGAGUUGUUAACCACUGAGCCACAAUGGGAACUCCACUUGCAAUUUAUUUGCCAAAGAAACUAUGUUGUUAUUGUUCUCACAAUCUGAAUUUUGUGUUUGCACUUCCGAGGUUUUUUUUUGUUUGUUUGUUUGUUUGUUUGGCUUUUUGUCUUUUCUAGGGCCGCACCCAUGGCAUAUGGAGGUUCCCAGGCUAGGGGUCCAAUUGGAGCUGUUGCCGCCGGCUUACACCAGAGCCACAGCAGCUCUGGAUCCGAGCCGUGUCUGUGACCUACACCACAGCUCACAGCAACACUGGAUCCUUAACCCACUGAGUGAGGCCAGGGAUCGAUGCCACAACCUCAUGAUUCUUAGAUUCGUUAACCACUGCGCCACGAUGGGAACUCCCCAAGGUGUAGUUACGACAUGAUUUUCUGUCUUUUGUAUUUCCUGUUACUUCAUAGUUGGAUGAAGAAAUCUGAUGGUAAUAAACACUCAUUCAUAGUUGGUGAGAUGUAUUUCUACCAGAAGGCAAAUAGUGUCUGGUUGUCUCUUUCUAAAAAGUUUGCAGCUGGAGUUCCCAUUGUGGCUCAGCAGAAACAGAUCUGACUAGCAUCCAUAAGGACAAAAGUUUGAUCCCUGGCCUUGCUCAGUGGGUUAAGGAUCCAGCAUCGCCAUGAGUUGUGGUAUAGGUCGAAGUUGUGGCUUGGAUCAUGUGUUACUGUGACUGUGGUGUAGGAUGACAACUGCAGCUCUGAUUUGACCGCUAGCCUGGGAACCUCCAAAUGCCGCAGGAGCGGCCUUACAAAGGCCAAAAAAAAAAAAAAA